Molecule: ribosomal RNA, 429 nt
Filed under: Acidobacteriota bacterium
Lineage: Bacteria; Pseudomonadati; Acidobacteriota
Description: Acidobacteria bacterium partial 16S ribosomal RNA
Rfam family: Bacterial small subunit ribosomal RNA
Source: RNAcentral
UGGGGAAUUUUGGACAAUGGGGGAAACCCUGAUCCAGCCAUCCCGCGUGUGCGAUGAAGGCCUUCGGGUUGUAAAGCACUUUUGGCAGGAAAGAAACGUCAUGGGUUAAUACCCCGUGAAACUGACGGUACCUGCAGAAUAAGCACCGGCUAACUACGUGCCAGCAGCCGCGGUAAUACGUAGGGUGCAAGCGUUAAUCGGAAUUACUGGGCGUAAAGCGUGCGCAGGCGGUUCGGAAAGAAAGAUGUGAAAUCCCAGAGCUCAACUUUGGAACUGCAUUUUUAACUACCGGGCUAGAGUGUGUCAGAGGGAGGUGGAAUUCCGCGUGUAGCAGUGAAAUGCGUAGAUAUGCGGAGGAACACCGAUGGCGAAGGCAGCCUCCUGGGAUAACGCUGACGCUCAUGCACGAAAGCGUGGGGAGCAAACAGG